This 253-nucleotide ribosomal RNA is filed under the name uncultured bacterium. RNAcentral describes it as "partial 16S ribosomal RNA". It matches the Rfam family "Bacterial small subunit ribosomal RNA", at positions 524 to 776 of the family's 1533-position model. The record is from RNAcentral.
UACAGAGGGUGCAAGCGUUGUUCGGAAUUAUUGGGCGUAAAGCGCGUGUAGGCGGCUUUGCAAGUCGGGUGUGAAAGCCCUCAGCUCAACUGAGGAAGUGCGCCCGAAACUGCAGAGCUUGAGUGCUGGAGAGGGUGGCGGAAUUCCCCAAGUAGAGGUGAAAUUCGUAGAUAUGGGGAGGAACACCGGUGGCGAAGGCGGCCACCUGGACGGUAACUGACGCUGAGACGCGAAAGCGUGGGGAGCAAACAGG